Non-coding RNA from Salvelinus sp. IW2-2015, 582 nucleotides. The record is from RefSeq and is a predicted model, not a curated record. NCBI's taxonomy places the organism in Eukaryota, Metazoa, Chordata, Actinopteri, Salmoniformes, Salmonidae.
CCCAACACGGCAUCCUGGACCACCGGGGGAACAGGAGAGCGAACCACGACCACCCAACACGCCAUCCCUGGACCACAGGGGACAGGGGACGUUCCAGGAGGGUCAAGAUGUGGGAGCAAGGGAGAAGUCACUAACCAGAUCCACGGGAGAAGAACGGUCGCUUCACCAACCCCUGGCCCACAUGGCACUACCCCUCCUCUGCCUCCCUGCUCCGGUUCUACCUACUAGAUAAGGACCACAGGCAACGUACCCCGCUCCAAAGAGGAGUUAGACUGUAAGCUUCCACUGCAGGAUCCUCCUACUUCAUCCAGAGCCCUGAGGUGUCAGGAACCUGGGGUCUGGUCUCAGGGUGACCUGGCUGGGCCACGCAUCAGUCCUGGUAGAGGAUGGACGGCCUGGUCAUCCUCACUGACCCCAUCUUCAGCCAGAGGGCAUCUCCUUCCAGUUCAUUGGGGCGCCAAGAGGUUCAGGGGCCCGCCGUGUACAGUAGAAUCAACUACCCAAGGUGAGGUGCCUCCAAACACUUGGGGGUGGUGUGUGUGUGUGUGUGUGUGUUGUGUGUGUGUGUUGUGUGUGUGUGUG